Molecule: ribosomal RNA, 298 nt
Filed under: uncultured Serratia sp.
Lineage: Bacteria; Pseudomonadati; Pseudomonadota; Gammaproteobacteria; Enterobacterales; Yersiniaceae
Description: partial 16S ribosomal RNA
Rfam family: Bacterial small subunit ribosomal RNA
Source: RNAcentral
GCACAAGAGAGCUUGCUCUCUGGGUGACGAGCGGCGGACGGGUGAGUAAUGUCUGGGAAACUGCCUGAUGGCGGGGGAUAACUAGUGGAAACGGUAGCUAAUACCGCAUAACGUCGCAAGACCAAAGUGGGGGACCUUCGGGCCUCACGCCAUCAGAUGUGCCCAGGUGGGAUUAGCUGGUAGGUGGGGUAACGGCUCACCUAGGCGACGAUCCCUAGCUGGUCUGAGAGGAUGACCAGCCACACUGGAACUGAGACACGGUCCAGACUCCUACGGGAGGCAGCAGUGGGGAAUAUUG